GGGGGCAUAGCUCAGUUGGUAGAGCGCCAGCUUUGCAAGCUGGAAGUCAGGAGUUCGAAUCUCCUUGCCUCCACCA
This 76-nucleotide transfer RNA is filed under the name Sphingosinicella sp. RNAcentral describes it as "tRNA-Ala". It matches the Rfam family "tRNA". From Rfam's summary of the family: Transfer RNA (tRNA) molecules are approximately 80 nucleotides in length. Their secondary structure includes four short double-helical elements and three loops (D, anti-codon, and T loops). Lineage: Bacteria; Pseudomonadati; Pseudomonadota; Alphaproteobacteria; Sphingomonadales; Sphingosinicellaceae. The record is from RNAcentral.